ACGAACGCUGGCGGCGUGCCUAAUACAUGCAAGUCGAACGCUUCUUUCCCCCCGAGUGCUUGCACUCAAUUGGAAAGAGGAGUGGCGGACGGGUGAGUAACACGUGGGUAACCUACCCAUCAGAGGGGGAUAACACUUGGAAACAGGUGCUAAUACCGCAUAACAGUUUAUGCCGCAUGGCAUAAGAGUGAAAGGCGCUUUCGGGUGUCGUUGAUGGAUGGACCCGCGGUGCAUUAGCUAGUUGGUGAGGUAACGGCUCACCAAGGCCACGAUGCAUAGCCGACCUGAGAGGGUGAUCGGCCACACUGGGACUGAGACACGGCCCAGACUCCUACGGGAGGCAGCAGUAGGGAAUCUUCGGCAAUGGACGAAAGUCUGACCGAGCAACGCCGCGUGAGUGAAGAAGGUUUUCGGAUCGUAAAACUCUGUUGUUAGAGAAGAACAAGGACGUUAGUAACUGAACGUCCCCUGACGGUAUCUAACCAGAAAGCCACGGCUAACUACGUG
Molecule: ribosomal RNA, 507 nt
Filed under: uncultured bacterium
Lineage: Bacteria
Description: partial 16S ribosomal RNA
Rfam family: Bacterial small subunit ribosomal RNA
Source: RNAcentral